This 429-nucleotide ribosomal RNA is filed under the name Bacteroidota bacterium. Its description in RNAcentral is "Bacteroidetes bacterium partial 16S ribosomal RNA". It matches the Rfam family "Bacterial small subunit ribosomal RNA", at positions 355 to 776 of the family's 1533-position model. Lineage: Bacteria; Pseudomonadati; Bacteroidota. The record is from RNAcentral.
UAGGGAAUCUUCCGCAAUGGACGCAAGUCUGACGGAGCAACGCCGCGUGAGUGAAGAAGGAUUUCGGUUCGUAAAACUCUGUUGUUAGAGAAGAACAGCGCAUAGAGUAACUGUUAUGCGUGUGACGGUAUCUAACCAGAAAGCCACGGCUAACUACGUGCCAGCAGCCGCGGUAAUACGUAGGUGGCAAGCGUUGUCCGGAUUUAUUGGGCGUAAAGCGAGCGCAGGCGGUCAAUUAAGUCUGAUGUGAUAGCCCCCGGCUCAACCGGGGAGGGUCAUUGGAAACUGGUUGACUUGAGUGCAGAAGAGGAGAGUGGAAUUCCAUGUGUAGCGGUGAAAUGCGUAGAUAUAUGGAGGAACACCAGUGGCGAAGGCGACUCUCUGGUCUGUAACUGACGCUGAGGCUCGAAAGCGUGGGUAGCAAACAGG